This 119-nucleotide ribosomal RNA is filed under the name Triticum aestivum (bread wheat). Lineage: Eukaryota; Viridiplantae; Streptophyta; Magnoliopsida; Poales; Poaceae. The record is from RNAcentral.
GGAUGCGAUCAUACCAGCACUAAAGCACCGGAUCCCAUCAGAACUUUGAAGUUAAGCGUGCUUGGGCGAGAGUAGUACUAGGAUGGGUGACCUCCUGGGAAGUCCUUGUGUUGCAUUCC